CACAAAACAAGAAAUAAUCCAAUAUCAAAAACCAGGAUGUAAAAGUAUAGCAACAAUCAGCCAAAACAAUAAUAAAUGAAUUUCAAACCAAUGAUGUUCAUUGGAAAAGCCCAAAAUAACAGAACCAACAUCAAUCAAUAAGUCACACUAAAAAUAUACGCGGUGAUGGCCUCUUCCUGGCUAGAUCUAGCACACUAAUAUUAUAAAAUGAAAAAGACCCCAAAACAGCGGCGACAUCAUCAUGGUGGUGUUGCUUCAAUGGAGUUCACCAAAGCAACGCCGAAAAAUGGAAAAGUGUCUAGAUCUGGCCAAUUUUUCAGUGAACAGUGGCAGAAAGAGAAGGAAAAGGAAGGCGCUUCUGGUGGUGCGUGGCAGCGUAUGAUGGUGCACUUAGAUGAAGCCCGCCCGUUGGUGGUCAAAUCUAGCAUGGAGCGGUAAAGAAAAAAGAGAGAAGGGUCGUUUAGUGGUGGAUAGAAGCUCACCGAUCAUCACCUCCGACGAGCCUGUAUGGAUUGGCAGAGGAGAGAAAAUGGAGCAACGGUGGGUUAGUGUUAAUGACCAGUGGCAGUGGCUGGUUGGUGGUUCUCUGGCUGGGAAAAUAAGAGGAGGAAGGGAGUCGUGUAGUGGUAGUAUGGUUGUCGCCAGAGCCUGUUCACCGAAGCUCCGACAGGGACAACAUUAAAGGGAAAAAGAGAGAGGCGUGAGAGAGAAUAAAGAAAGAGAGAAACAUA
RNAcentral lists this long non-coding RNA (731 nucleotides) under Capsicum annuum. RNAcentral describes it as "long non-coding RNA (CANN_LNC017605)". The record is from RNAcentral. Lineage: Eukaryota; Viridiplantae; Streptophyta; Magnoliopsida; Solanales; Solanaceae.